Poecilia latipinna (sailfin molly) is the source of this 315-nucleotide long non-coding RNA. RefSeq lists it as uncharacterized. NCBI's taxonomy places the organism in Eukaryota, Metazoa, Chordata, Actinopteri, Cyprinodontiformes, Poeciliidae. The transcript has 3 exons. The record is from RefSeq and is a predicted model, not a curated record.
UUUAAAACCUACAAGCUCAUCAGCUUAGCUUGCCCAAAAAUGAAAAGCCACCACGUGGUGAAUGUUAAAUGUUAAACACAACUUCCUGGAUUAGUCAAAAACUUACCAGACAGCUUUGGGAACGGCAACUGAUCAUGAUGCACGCUUUCACAAAGCAAAGGACAAAAUUGUCUCUUUGCUAUCUAGUAGCUGUGAUACUCACUAUCUGUCCUGGAUUUGCUGAUUGGACGACGCAUGACUGCUUUACCUGCAGGGACAAGAGCAGAUGCCCAAACAUAGAGAGGAUUUUUGGACCUCAUGACUCCCUUCUCUUUG